CUCGGGCAGGGCGAUCGGUUCAGGGGUGCCCUCACGGGGCGCGGUCAGCGGCACGGACUCGCUGCCGGUGGGUUCGGUCCCCGCGUCCGACG
Molecule: transfer RNA, 92 nt
Filed under: Micromonospora sonchi
Lineage: Bacteria; Bacillati; Actinomycetota; Actinomycetes; Micromonosporales; Micromonosporaceae
Description: tRNA-Val
Source: RNAcentral